AGUAAACGCUGGCGGUAGGCCUAACACAUGCAAGUCGAACGGCAGCACAGUAAGAGCUUGCUCUUACGGGUGGCGAGUGGCGGACGGGUGAGGAAUACAUCGGAAUCUACUUUUUCGUGGGGGAUAACGUAGGGAAACUUACGCUAAUACCGCAUACGACCUACGGGUGAAAGCAGGGGAUCUUCGGACCUUGCGCGAUUGAAUGAGCCGAUGUCGGAUUAGCUAGUUGGCGGGGUAAAGGCCCACCAAGGCGACGAUCCGUAGCUGGUCUGAGAGGAUGAUCAGCCACACUGGAACUGAGACACGGUCCAGACUCCUACGGGAGGCAGCAGUGGGGAAUAUUGGACAAUGGGCGCAAGCCUGAUCCAGCCAUACCGCGUGGGUGAAGAAGGCCUUCGGGUUGUAAAGCCCUUUUGUUGGGAAAGAAAAGCAGCAGGUUAAUACCCCGCUGUUCUGACGGUACCCAAAGAAUAAGCACCGGCUAACUUCGUG
RNAcentral lists this ribosomal RNA (492 nucleotides) under uncultured bacterium. RNAcentral's name for it is "partial 16S ribosomal RNA". It matches the Rfam family "Bacterial small subunit ribosomal RNA", at positions 29 to 507 of the family's 1533-position model. The record is from RNAcentral.